Molecule: transfer RNA, 76 nt
Filed under: Bacillota bacterium
Lineage: Bacteria; Bacillati; Bacillota
Also listed under: 1 other name
Description: tRNA-Phe
Rfam family: tRNA
About the family: Transfer RNA (tRNA) molecules are approximately 80 nucleotides in length.
Source: RNAcentral
GCCGAGGUAGCUCAGUCGGUAGAGCAGGGGACUGAAAAUCCCCGUGUCGGCAGUUCGAUUCUGCCCCUCGGCACCA